UCGGGAAUUUUGGGCAAUGGGCGAAAGCCUGACCCAGCAACGCCACGUGAAGGAUGAAGUAUUUCGGUAUGUAAACUUCGUAAGAAUAGGAAGAAUAAAUGACGGUACUAUUUGUAAGGUCCGGCUAACUACGUGCCAGCAGCCGCGGUAAUACGUAGGGACCAAGCGUUGUUCGGAUUUACUGGGCGUAAAGGGCGCGUAGGCGGCAAUUCAAGUCAUCUGUGAAAUCUCCGGGCUUAACUCGGAACGGUCAGAUGAUACUGCUUUGCUAGAGUGCAGAAGGGACAAUCGGAAUUCUUGGUGUAGCGGUGAAAUGCGUAGAUAUCAAGAGGAACACCUGAGGUGAAGACGGGUUGCUGGGCUGACACUGACGCUGAGGCGCGAAAGCCAGGGGAGCAAACGGGAUUAGAUACCCCCGUAGUCCCUGAGCGGGCUGGCAAGGCGCAU
This 447-nucleotide ribosomal RNA is filed under the name uncultured bacterium. RNAcentral describes it as "bacterial SSU rRNA". It matches the Rfam family "Bacterial small subunit ribosomal RNA", at positions 355 to 825 of the family's 1533-position model. The record is from RNAcentral.